UACGGGGGGGGCAAGCGUUGUUCGGAAUUACUGGGCGUAAAGGGCUCGUAGGCGGCCAACUAAGUCAGACGUGAAAUCCCUCGGCUUAACCGGGGAACUGCGUCCGAUACUGGAUGGCUUGAGUUUGGGAGAGGGAUGCGGAAUUCCAGGUGUAGCGGUGAAAUGCGUAGAUAUCUGGAGGAACACCGGUGGCGAAGGCGGCAUCCUGGACCAACACUGACGCUGAUGAGCGAAAGCCAGGGGAGCAAACGGG
Molecule: ribosomal RNA, 253 nt
Filed under: uncultured bacterium
Lineage: Bacteria
Description: partial 16S ribosomal RNA
Rfam family: Bacterial small subunit ribosomal RNA
Source: RNAcentral